CAGUUAGGAGGAGGGGUGUCCUUGUACCGCAUGGCUCUGCAUGGGCAAUAAUGUGAAAUAUGUUUGAAUUUUUCAAUGAAUAUUUUUCGCGUCAAAAUAUAGAGUUAAAUAGGCCAAAUUUAAGCCAUUUUGGAUAUAAUAAUUUUAAACAAAUAAGCAUAAUAGCUCUAUCAUUUUUAGUAUGAUAAAAUAUAAUGUAAUUUAACUCGUUUAAAUACCUAUUUUGAUCUUAAAUAGUUAACAAUCUUGACAGUUGAAUAUUCAAA
Cinara cedri is the source of this 266-nucleotide non-coding RNA. Lineage: Eukaryota; Metazoa; Arthropoda; Insecta; Hemiptera; Aphididae. The record is from the annotation of a GenBank genome assembly.